Molecule: ribosomal RNA, 253 nt
Filed under: uncultured bacterium
Lineage: Bacteria
Description: partial 16S ribosomal RNA
Rfam family: Bacterial small subunit ribosomal RNA
Source: RNAcentral
UACGAAGGGGGCUAGCGUUGUUCGGAAUCACUGGGCGUAAAGGGUGCGUAGGCGGGCAUUUAAGUCAGGGGUGAAAUCCCGAGGCUCAACCUCGGAACUGCCCUUGAUACUGGAUGUCUUGAGUCCGGAAGAGGUGAGUGGAACUGCGAGUGUAGAGGUGAAAUUCGUAGAUAUUCGCAAGAACACCGGUGGCGAAGGCGGCUCACUGGUCCGGAACUGACGCUGAGGCACGACAGCGUGGGGAGCAAACAGG